This 245-nucleotide ribosomal RNA is filed under the name uncultured bacterium. RNAcentral describes it as "partial 16S ribosomal RNA". It matches the Rfam family "Bacterial small subunit ribosomal RNA", at positions 114 to 353 of the family's 1533-position model. The record is from RNAcentral.
CACGUGGGUAACCUGCCUUAUAGUGGGGGAGUAGCCUUUCGAAAGGAAGAUUAAUACCGCAUAAGAUUGUAGUAUCGCAUGAUAUAGCAAUUAAAAGGAGCAAUUCGCUAUAAGAUGGACCCGCGUCGCAUUAGCUAGUUGGUGAGGUAAUGGCUCACCAAGGCGACGAUGCGUAGCCGACCUGAGAGGGUGAACGGCCACAUUGGGACUGAGACACGGCCCAGACUCCUACGGGAGGCAGCAUG